Oncorhynchus kisutch (coho salmon) is the source of this 755-nucleotide long non-coding RNA. RefSeq lists it as uncharacterized. Lineage: Eukaryota; Metazoa; Chordata; Actinopteri; Salmoniformes; Salmonidae. The record is from RefSeq and is a predicted model, not a curated record. The transcript has 3 exons.
CAAGCGGUGGGAGACACAGUUAGAGAAGCUUGCCAACAUGGAUGAAAGUAAAGUUUAUAAAGUAGGAAACCUCACUCUUAUAAAUGAUGAUGAUUACUUUCGCAUAGCAAAGGGAAGUGAUGGAACUGAGGUCUUCUUGGGCCUGAGGGAUGAUGGCACUGAAGUAGCUAUAAAGAGAAUGAUCAGGUCAAACUAUCAGUUUCUCAAGAGGGAGGAAGGAUUUUUACGUCUUCCAGAGCUUGACAGUAGCUGUAUUGUGAGAUACAUGGACUUUGCAGAAGACAGUUUCUUUGGUUAUCUUGCUCUUCAGCUCUGUGAAUACACUCUGGAUGAGUACAUUAAUACACACCUGUCCAAGGACGACACUCAUGCCCUGAUUAAAAUCACUCAAGAGGUGCUCCGCAGUUUAAGUGUCCUUCAUUGUCCAACUACCAAGUCCUUCAUCGGGAUAUCAAACCUCUGUUUUGAUAGAUAUCAAUGGAAAUGCAAAAUUGGCAGAUUUUGGCAUAAGUCGCAGAUUGACAGUGGAACAAACAACUCUACACACAGUCCCUGCAGGAACAAAAUGCUGGAUGGCCAAGGAGACAUUAGACAAACAAGGCUCUGGAUAUAAGAGGAGCUCUGAUAUACAGGUGGCUGGGAUGUUGGUAUACUACAUCCUUUCUGGUGGACACCACCCCUUUGAAGGUCCACUUGGUGAUGAACUUGAACAGAAUCGAAACAUAAUCAAGGGGACUUACACACUAGAACAUGUG